Molecule: ribosomal RNA, 492 nt
Filed under: uncultured bacterium
Lineage: Bacteria
Description: partial 16S ribosomal RNA
Rfam family: Bacterial small subunit ribosomal RNA
Source: RNAcentral
GAUGAACGCUAGCUACAGGCUUAACACAUGCAAGUCGAGGGGAAACGGCAUCGAAAGCUUGCUUUUGAUGGGCGUCGACCGGCGCACGGGUGAGUAACGCGUAUCCAACCUGCCCAUCACUUGGGAAUAACCUUGCGAAAGUAAGACUAAUGCCCAAUGACAUCCCACGAAGGCAUCCGAAUGGGAUUAAAGAUUUAUCGGUGAUGGAUGGGGAUGCGUCUGAUUAGCUUGUUGGCGGGGUGACGGCCCACCAAGGCAACGAUCAGUAGGGGUUCUGAGAGGAAGGUCCCCCACAUUGGAACUGAGACACGGUCCAAACUCCUACGGGAGGCAGCAGUGAGGAAUAUUGGUCAAGGGGCGAGAGCCUGAACCAGCCAAGUAGCGUGCAGGAUGACGGCCCUAUGGGUUGUAAACUGCUUUUAUAAGGGAAUAAAGUGGGUCACGUGUGACUUUUUGCAUGUACCUUAUGAAUAAGGACCGGCUAAUUCCGUG